This 254-nucleotide ribosomal RNA is filed under the name uncultured bacterium. RNAcentral describes it as "partial 16S ribosomal RNA". It matches the Rfam family "Bacterial small subunit ribosomal RNA", at positions 524 to 776 of the family's 1533-position model. The record is from RNAcentral.
UACGGGGGGGGGCAAGCGUUGUUCGGAAUUACUGGGCGUAAAGGGUUCGUAGGGGGCCUGCUAAGUCAGACGUGAAAUCCCUCAGCUUAACUGGGGAACUGCGUCUGAGACUGGUGGGCUUGAGUGCAGGAGAGGAACGCGGAAUUCCAGGUGUAGCGGUGAAAUGCGUAGAUAUCUGGAGGAACACCGGUGGCGAAGGCGGCGUUCUGGACUGCUACUGACACUGAGGAACGAAAGCCAGGGGAGCAAACGGG